AACGAACGCUGGUGGCAGGCUUAACACAUGCAAGUCGAACGCAUCGCAAGAUGAGUGGCAGACGGGUGAGUAACGCGUGGGAACAUACCCUUUUCUACGGAAUAGCUCUGGGAAACUGGAAUUAAUACCGUAUACGCCCUACGGGGGAAAGAUUUAUCGGGGAAGGAUUGGCCCGCGUUGGAUUAGCUAGUUGGUGGGGUAAAGGCCUACCAAGGCGACGAUCCAUAGCUGGUCUGAGAGGAUGAUCAGCCACAUUGGGACUGAGACACGGCCCAAACUCCUACGGGAGGCAGCAGUGGGGAAUAGUGGACAAUGGGCGCAAGCCUGAUCCAGCCAUGCCGCGUGAGUGAUGAAGGCCUUAGGGUUGUAAAGCUCUUUCACCGAUGAAGAUAAUGACGGUAGUCGGAGAAGAAGCCCCGGCUAACUUCGUGCCAGCCGCCGCCGUAA
Molecule: ribosomal RNA, 447 nt
Filed under: uncultured bacterium
Lineage: Bacteria
Description: partial 16S ribosomal RNA
Rfam family: Bacterial small subunit ribosomal RNA
Source: RNAcentral